CCUGGUGGCUCAGAGGGGAAAGCAUCUGCCUGCAGUGCAGGAGACCCGGGUUCGAUCCCUGGGUCAGGA
This 69-nucleotide transfer RNA is filed under the name Ovis aries (sheep). It matches the Rfam family "tRNA". Rfam says of the family: Transfer RNA (tRNA) molecules are approximately 80 nucleotides in length. Their secondary structure includes four short double-helical elements and three loops (D, anti-codon, and T loops). The record is from Rfam by way of RNAcentral. Lineage: Eukaryota; Metazoa; Chordata; Mammalia; Artiodactyla; Bovidae.